UGCGUAGGCGGGCUAAUAAGUCAGUGGUGAAAUCUCUCGGCUCAACCGGGAAACUGCCAUUGAUACUGUUAGUCUUGAGUUCGGUUGAGGUAGGCGGAAUGUGUAAUGUAGCGGUGAAAUGCUUAGAUAUUACACAGAACACCAAUUGCGUAGGCAGCUUACUAGACCGACACUGACGCUGAGGCACGAAAGCGUGGGGAGCGAACAGGAUUAGAUACCUGGUAGUCC
Molecule: ribosomal RNA, 228 nt
Filed under: uncultured bacterium
Lineage: Bacteria
Description: partial 16S ribosomal RNA
Rfam family: Bacterial small subunit ribosomal RNA
Source: RNAcentral